GAUGAACGCUGGCGGCGUGCCUAAUACAUGCAAGUCGAGCGAACAGACGAGGAGCUUGCUCCUCUGACGUUAGCGGCGGACGGGUGAGUAACACGUGGAUAACCUACCUAUAAGACUGGGAUAACUUCGGGAAACCGGAGCUAAUACCGGAUAAUAUAUUGAACCGCAUGGUUCACUAGUGAAAGACGGUUUUGCUGUCACUUAUAGAUGGAUCCGCGCCGCAUUAGCUAGUUGGUAAGGUAACGGCUUACCAAGGCAACGAUGCGUAGCCGACCUGAGAGGGUGAUCGGCCACACUGGAACUGAGACACGGUCCAGACUCCUACGGGAGGCAGCAGUAGGGAAUCUUCCGCAAAGGGCGAAAGCCUGACGGAGCAACGCCGCGUGAGUGAUGAAGGUCUUCGGAUCGUAAAACUCUGUUAUUAGGGAAGAACAAAUGUGUAAGUAACUAUGCACGUCUUGACGGUACCUAAUCAGAAAGCCACGGCUAACUACGUG
Molecule: ribosomal RNA, 497 nt
Filed under: uncultured bacterium
Lineage: Bacteria
Description: partial 16S ribosomal RNA
Rfam family: Bacterial small subunit ribosomal RNA
Source: RNAcentral